AUUGAACGCUGGCGGCAUGCUUUACACAUGCAAGUCGAACGGCAGCGCGGGCUUCGGCCUGGCGGCGAGUGGCGAACGGGUGAGUAAUGCAUCGGAACGUGCCCAGCAGUGGGGGAUAGCCCGGCGAAAGCCGGAUUAAUACCGCAUACGACCUGAGGGUGAAAGCGGGGGCCGAAAGGCCUCGCGCUAUUGGAGCGGCCGAUGUCGGAUUAGCUAGUUGGUGGGGUAAAGGCUUACCAAGGCGACGAUCCGUAGCUGGUCUGAGAGGACGACCAGCCACACUGGGACUGAGACACGGCCCAGACUCCUACGGGAGGCAGCAGUGGGGAAUUUUGGACAAUGGGGGCAACCCUGAUCCAGCCAUGCCGCGUGCGGGAAGAAGGCCUUCGGGUUGUAAACCGCUUUUGUUCGGGAAGAAAUCCUCUGGGCUAAUACCCCGGGGGGAUGACGGUACCGGAAGAAUAAGCACCGGCUAACUACGUG
This 483-nucleotide ribosomal RNA is filed under the name uncultured bacterium. Its description in RNAcentral is "partial 16S ribosomal RNA". It matches the Rfam family "Bacterial small subunit ribosomal RNA", at positions 28 to 507 of the family's 1533-position model. The record is from RNAcentral.